ACCAAUGACACAUCAAUACCAAAUGUCAGUCUGGUCCACAACUCAACCACUUCAAAUGAUGAAGGUUGAAAAUGAUAUGUUUUAUAUAUCAACUGUACACAUUAAGGGGGCACCAACCUAUGAGCAUGAAUAAGAAAAUCGGAAUUAGACCGUAUGAUACAAAUCAGUUACUGAUUCAAUAUCAAGAUCUAAAUAAGACUGGAGGAAUCAGAGUCAAUACACUAAUAUAGACAAGAAUCACAGUAUCACCCACACUGAGUCCAGACCAUUGGCAAAGUGGUGUCGAGGAAUAAUGACCUUGCACGAGAUGCAUUAAAUCUUGGAAACCUUGUACUCACUGGAGUUUAGGAUGAGGGGGCAUCUUAUAGAAACAUAUACAAUUAUAAAAGGACUAGGUGCAGGAAAAAUGUUUAAUGUAGGGCGAGUCCAGAACCAGGGGCCACAGUCUUAGAAUAAAGAGGAGGCCAUUUAAGACACAGGUGAGAAAAAACAUUUUCACCCAGAGAGUUGUGAAUUUGUGGAAUUCCCUGCCACAGAGGGCAGUGGAGGCCAAAUCACUGGAUGGAUUUAAGAGAGUUAGAUAGAGCUCUAGGGGCUAGUGGAAUCAAGGGAAAUGAGAAGGCAAGCACGGGUUAUUGAUUGGGGACGAUCAGCCAUGAUCACAAUGAAUGGCGGUGCUGGCUCGAAGGGCGGAAUGGCCUCCUCCUGCACCUAUUUUCUGUCCACGUCUACGUCUAAAAUACUCUCUUCGGAGUGUGAUAAUAGAGAAUUUGAUGUUCAUACCGCUGGGUUGUAAGCAACCCAAGCAAAAUAUUAGGCGCUUUUCUUUUAAUUUGCAGGUGUGGCCUCACUCUGGCAAUAGAGGCCUAGGAUCCAAAGAUCAGGAUGGGAAGGGGAAAUAAAAUGGUUAGCAACCGGGAGAUCCAGUUAUCCUUGGUGGUUCAAGCGCAAGUGUUCGUGCCGGAAACGAUCACCAAGUCUAUGCUUGGUCUCGCCAAUGUACAGGAAGUCACAUCAGGAACGCCAGAUGCCAUAGAUGAGGAAUGGGAUGGGGAGUUGAAAUGGAUAUGGCAAUUGUUGGCAAUGCCCACCCUUAACUGCCAUUGAGAACUUGGUGGUGAGCCGCUUUCAUGAAUGCCUACAGUACCUCUGCUGAUGGUACCACCAGUGCUAUUGGCAGUGGAUCUCUCUGGUGCAGUUGGAGUCAAAGAUCCUAUAGCAAGAUAGACCACUCGACAAAAAAGACGUAGUACGGUCAUGGGAAGAUUCAUGGGUAAUUUUCGGCCCCAUUUCAGUAACCAGCUUCCGUCUUUGCUUCAGUCUCUGCACUCGUAUCUUUGCUUUGGCCAUGGCGUCCACGUCUACUGGUGUUGCAUACUGCUCUGCUGUAAAUUGCUCCAAUCGCCAAUGUAGGCAACCCGACUUGUCUUUCUUCAGGUUCUCCACUAAGGAGGAAAGAUGUCAACAGUAGGUUCAGAAUACUUGUCGACAUGAUCUCCUACACAGAACUGCAGAGUACUUGUCAAAUAACUGCAGUCUUUGUUCUGAGCACUUCGAACUUGACCAGUUUUCCAACAAGCAGACCAAGAACAGGCUAAAUUGGAAUGCAGUCUUUGACAUCCCUAACCCGCCGAAACAACUGUCUAUUAUUCAGCGUUCUAUCAGAUAUUCAGCAUUAAAAAGAGUAAAUCACAAUAAAAGCGAAAAGAUGCCUCUGUUCCUUCCACAGUGUGCGGGGAGUCUGGCCCAGAUCAGCACGGCUGAGACAC
Molecule: long non-coding RNA, 1769 nt
Organism: Leucoraja erinaceus (little skate)
Lineage: Eukaryota; Metazoa; Chordata; Chondrichthyes; Rajiformes; Rajidae
Exons: 4
Source: RefSeq, a predicted model, not a curated record